UAAGCAGCUAAGGCUCUGUAUGGUCCCAGCCCUUGCUGCUGUUUCCCUGGAUUACUUCCUACAUAACUAACUUCCCUUUUCCCUGAAGUCACUAGCCUUGCAAAUUCCUCCACUCAGGGAAUGACUGCAGCUUGCUUUGCUGUACAGCUUCUUUGCUGUUUACUGAUCCUGGGCUUUAUCCUGGUUCUAUCCAUUUCUGGCCAACUGAGCCUACUUCUAAUCAGUGGCAUUCUCAUGUGCUCCUCCUCCAGGUGCAUCCAGUGGAGUUCUUAUUGAAGGCUGGUCCCCAUAACCCCUUUCAGCACUGUGUAAUACAGAUGCACUAUAAUUAUAAAGAAGUGGGGACUUGGCAAGGCAAGAAUUCAGGUACAGUGGGCUGCUGAAGUGAAAAAUGAAGAGGAAAGAAAGUUAUUUACAUUCUUUGGAAGAGUUGAAGAUCAAACACAGAACAGGAUCAGAGAAAUUAUGGAAAUUAGCUACUUAAGGAGACUUGUAUUGGAGAGCUUGAAGAAUCUGCUUGACUAUGGAGAAUAGGAAGCCUUCUCAGGCAAGUGUUGUAAACUUCUGCUAUCUAAGCCAUCAUCGAGACACAGAUUACAAGCCUUAUGACUGUAAAGGUGUCUAAAAAUAUACAAACAUUACAAAGUCAGCACAUGAAAAGUUUCAAGGCAAGUCUUUGGAGAUCUAAAAUCUGUUUGUGAAGUGACAUUCAUUCCACCACAGAGAGAAAUUUAUUGAAAAGAAAUCAAAGGAAUAACAGUUUGGUAAUAAAGAAACAUGUUUGCGGUUCUAAAAUGUAAUGCUCCAUGCUUCUCUCAAGGCUUGCUUGUGGAAGAAAACCCCUCUUGUCCAUUUUGUUUCAAUAGCUCUAUGCUACAGUGGAGCAUAAGUGAAAUGACUUUCUCCUUGAAGAAAAACCAUAGUCAUUGGGGUCCAUGGGUGGGAUCUCUGAAAGCACUUAGAUGCCUAAGUCUCUGUUUUGGCUCCUUUGCAAUCCACAAACCUUCCACCAAACCCUAUAGGCACUUAGUCACUCGGCAUGUAAGGUUUCAGGGUAAAAGUUCCCCAGAUGUCUGUGUUUCUACAUCUGAGCACAUGUACUGUUGCUCCUGUCAAUCUCCCACCUAAGCCCCAGAGUGAUCCACAAAACAGGGGAAGACGGGUAUUCAGCCACCUGAUUUGCAUGCAGGGUCUGAUUUGGUAGGGGCCCUUUGAACAUAGAUCCGAUUCAAAAUUCAGCAGGAGGAAGUGCUGUUGCCACCCACCUUAACUUUUAGCCCAGUGGCUAGAGCACUCCCCUGGGAUGUGGGAGACU
This is a long non-coding RNA of Dermochelys coriacea (leatherback sea turtle), 1315 nucleotides long. RefSeq lists it as uncharacterized. NCBI's taxonomy places the organism in Eukaryota, Metazoa, Chordata, Testudines, Dermochelyidae. The transcript is spliced from 4 exons. The record is from RefSeq and is a predicted model, not a curated record.